Long non-coding RNA from Gorilla gorilla gorilla (western lowland gorilla), 270 nucleotides. RefSeq lists it as uncharacterized. The transcript is spliced from 3 exons. The record is from RefSeq and is a predicted model, not a curated record. Lineage: Eukaryota; Metazoa; Chordata; Mammalia; Primates; Hominidae.
AGACCACCAGCCUUCUUGCUGAGAAAGCAAGCAGACUCACAGUUUUUCAGCAUCUCAAGGAGUCUGAAGCAGUGAUCUAGUUCCCUCAAAGGGUCUUUGGAUUCUCUCUGCUUUACUGAUAAAAAAUAAAUUUGGAGAAGCUGAAUGUUUUCUCUAAGGACACACAGCAAGUUAGUGGGAGGCUGCUUCCUGCAACUGAAGGUCAUUCCUCUUUGUCAGAAGACUAAGGGUCCCUGACCUGAUCUGUGGAGCACCAGGGUGGAGAGAGUG